This 478-nucleotide ribosomal RNA is filed under the name uncultured bacterium. Its description in RNAcentral is "partial 16S ribosomal RNA". It matches the Rfam family "Bacterial small subunit ribosomal RNA", at positions 28 to 523 of the family's 1533-position model. The record is from RNAcentral.
GAUGAACGCUGGCGGCGUGCUUAACACAUGCAAGUCGAGCGAGAAAAGUUCUUCGGAGCUUUUCUAGCGGCGGACGGGUGGGUAACACGUAGGCAACCUGCCUCAUAGAGGGGAAUAGCAUUCCGAAAGGAAGAUUAAUACCGCAUAAUAUUGUUGAAAGGCAUCUUUUAACAAUCAAAGGAGCAAUCCGCUAUGGAAUGGGCCCGCGGGGCACUAGCUAGUUGGGUAGGUAACGGCGCACCAAGGCGACGAUGCGUAGCCGACCUGAGAGGGUGAUCGGCAACAUUGGGACUGAGACACGGUCCAGACUCCUGCGGGAGGGAGCAGUGGGGAAUAUUGCGCAGUGGGGGAAAUCCGGAUGCAGCAACGCCGCGUGAGUGAUGAAGGUCUUCGGAUUGUAAAGCUCUGUCUUUAGGGACGAUAAUGACGGUACCUAAGGAGGAAGCCACGGCUAACUACGUGCCAGCCGCCGCAGUAA